AAUAUGUGUGCCAUUAAAAGGUUGCGCCUGGCUUGUUAAUGGGUCUCAGCAAAAGAGUGUGAACUUAACUAGCUAAACACUGAGUGGCCAGUCUGUGUCAAUAUGCUACCCAUGCAUUUAUUAUGUUAAUUUCACAAAGCAGUAAAAAGUGCACUGAGGUUCCAUGUCGAUCCAUGAUCACUUGUGGGGUUGCUAAUGACCCCCAAGAAAAAAAUCUCAUAAAGCCUGCCCUGUGAGCCUCACACCGAGGGCAAACAUUUGCGUUUUGGCCCAGCUUUUUACCAUAUUUGAUUAUGUAACAGAGUUCCAGCUGAGCAAGCGACAGUGGCAACCCACCGACCCCAUUCCCACCAAGCUCGCUUUGACUACCCCUUCACCGCCUCCUGGGCGCCACGUGCUCGCCAGCCGGUCUACAGACCUGCUGUGCCAUUUGACACACUGAACCCCUGACACCGAGCAGGCAGACAGUCAAUCAAAAAGAAAAAAAAAAAAGUGAGCAGUGGUAGUUGUAAUUGGACCUGCACAUUGGCCUGACACUCAUGAGUCACCUGCACAUUCAGCAUCCUUCAGAGGGUGCAAAGGAAGAGAAUCAAAAACCCACUUUGUUACGCAAGUGUAAAAUUGGAUGUAAACAAGACUACCACUGGGAGGCAUGCAGUGGCGCCAUAGAUACUAGAUCAAACAGGUUUUGGGGCAUCGAAAACACUAAAAAUACACUUAAAGCCACUCAGCAUGUUUAUCAAGUGUCUUUGACAGCUUCCCGCUAAAAACAAUCACAAGAAAGCAACAGCAGUGUGGAUAUAUGGACAUAAACGUCAUCAUUAAGUCACUCGUAUUGCUAAAAAGUAACCAAAACACGUUACUAAACGAUGAUUACGCUUAUGUCUGCAAAAAUAAUGUGACUAAAUAUGCUCCUGUAAAUUAUGACAUCCCCCUGUUGCAAAAGUUUUGCAAUUAAAGUAUUUUACAUGUAACAAUAAAUUUCCCUCAUUUUAUUAAGAUGACCAAAAUACAAAUCAAUAAACAACUGCUAAAUAAUCACCCAAAUACUUAUCACUGUGAACUAUGGCUACCUUUAC
Hippocampus comes (tiger tail seahorse) is the source of this 1079-nucleotide long non-coding RNA. RefSeq lists it as uncharacterized. The record is from RefSeq and is a predicted model, not a curated record. Lineage: Eukaryota; Metazoa; Chordata; Actinopteri; Syngnathiformes; Syngnathidae. The transcript has 2 exons.